UUAGUAGCGGCGAGUGAAGCGGCAAAAGCUCAAAUUUGAAAUCUGGCUCUUUCAGAGUCCGAGUUGUAAUUUGAAGAAGGUAUCUUUGGGUCUGGCUCUUGUCUAUGUUUCUUGGAACAGAACGUCACAGAGGGUGAGAAUCCCGUGCGAUGAGAUGAUCCAGGCCUAUGUAAAGUUCCUUCGAAGAGUCGAGUUGUUUGGGAAUGCAGCUCUAAGUGGGUGGUAAAUUCCAUCUAAAGCUAAAUAUUGGCGAGAGACCGAUAGCGAACAAGUACAGUGAUGGAAAGAUGAAAAGAACUUUGAAAAGAGAGUGAAAAAGUACGUGAAAUUGUUGAAAGGGAAGGGCUUGAGAUCAGACUUGGUAUUUUGUAUGUUACUUCUUCGGGGGUGGCCUCUACAGUUUAUCGGGCCAGCAUCAGUUUGGGCGGUAGGAGAAUUGCGUUGGAAUGUGGCACGGCUUCGGUUGUGUGUUAUAGCCUUCGUCGAUACUGCCAGCCUAGACUGAGGACUGCGGUUUAUACCUAGGAUGUUGGCAUAAUGAUCUUAAGUCGCCCGUCUUGAAACACGGACCAAGGAGUCUAACGUCUAUGCGAGUGUUUGGGUGUAAAACCCGUACGCGUAAUGAAAGUGAACGUAGGUGGGGGCCCGUAUGGGUGCACCAUCGACCGAUCCUGAUGUCUUCGGAUGGAUUUGAGUAAGAGCAUAGCUGUUGGGACCCGAAAGAUGGUGAACUAUGCCUGAAUAGGGUGAAGCCAGAGGAAACUCUGGUGGAGGCUCGUAGCGGUUCUGACGUGCAAAUCGAUCGUCGAAUUUGGGUAUAGGGGCGAAAG
This 830-nucleotide ribosomal RNA is filed under the name Candida tropicalis. RNAcentral's name for it is "LSU rRNA". It matches the Rfam family "Eukaryotic large subunit ribosomal RNA", at positions 80 to 929 of the family's 3401-position model. Lineage: Eukaryota; Fungi; Ascomycota; Pichiomycetes; Serinales; Debaryomycetaceae. The record is from RNAcentral.